RNAcentral lists this microRNA (22 nucleotides) under Lytechinus variegatus (green sea urchin). RNAcentral's name for it is "lva-miR-210-3p". Its record names the gene lva-miR-210-3p. The record is from miRBase by way of RNAcentral. Lineage: Eukaryota; Metazoa; Echinodermata; Echinoidea; Temnopleuroida; Toxopneustidae. RNAcentral also lists the same sequence under 2 other names.
UUGUGCGUGCGACAGCGACUGA